AGACGGAGCCCCAUCCAUCUAUCACACGUGUAGACAAAGGGGACACAACAGAGCUGGAUGUGUCCUUUCAAACUUUUUUUUAGCACGACGCAUGCAACGCGCACAGAUGAAAGUGACCACACUUCAGGUGAGUGGACACUCUUUCUGCUGUCAUUUUUGUUUGUUUGUUGCCAGUCUGAAGUUGCGACUGUAGUUGGUGCGUCAGCGCUCUAACUUGAGCACAAAGCUGGAGAGAGAGGGCGAGAGACGUAGAGAAAGAGUUGCAUCAAGGAGAGAGAGAGAGAAGCGGUCCCCUUUCCUUUGUCUGAUGCGGGGCGCUUUGAGGAGACAACUUGAGGGGAUGCUCGGACAUGCAUCUAUUUUGCUCCCAGUAAUGCAUAACUUUGGCUACUUUAAGUCACUUAAAAGUCUGCGUUAAUGGAGAUGAAGUUUGCGCCGGUGCCGUGUUUUUGUCUCCUGGGGAUGUUGCGACACAAGACAAAGCUUGUCAGAAGUUUGAAGAGAAAAGGAGCCUUUACGCACGCCAAAAAACAGACAACGAAUGCGUGGGAAAAUAAAGGAUUUACAGACGGAUUAACCACAGAAUCGUUUUCUUCCAUGGGUGGUGAAAAAAACCAAUAAAACACAGAUAUGUGUAAGUCACAUUGGAGAUGUACAGUCGCCUAUCAAGAGGCUUUUAAGACGAAGAGGAGGAUUAACACACUCUGCAGUUUUCUUCAGGAGAAGGUUAUCCAGGACUCCAAGGCCCGCUGGACGCCUCAAGCUUUUGCUGACUUCCAGGAUUCAUUCUGCUGAAAUCAUUGCUAGACUGAAGCUUGAUAGUGUGGCUACGAACACAAAAGUUGUAUUGGUCCUUUCUUCCAAGCCUUGGCAAAAGCAGGAGUUCGGGAGUGGUGAGGUCUGGGAGAUCAUGACCCUAAUUCUCUCCAAGACAGACGGUUUAAUUAACAGUAGAGGAGUCCUCAUCGACUGCAGACCUCUACAGUGA
Long non-coding RNA from Gouania willdenowi (blunt-snouted clingfish), 988 nucleotides. The record is from Ensembl. NCBI's taxonomy places the organism in Eukaryota, Metazoa, Chordata, Actinopteri, Blenniiformes, Gobiesocidae.